RNAcentral lists this ribosomal RNA (559 nucleotides) under Salmonella enterica. Its description in RNAcentral is "bacterial SSU rRNA". It matches the Rfam family "Bacterial small subunit ribosomal RNA", at positions 984 to 1533 of the family's 1533-position model. Lineage: Bacteria; Pseudomonadati; Pseudomonadota; Gammaproteobacteria; Enterobacterales; Enterobacteriaceae. The record is from RNAcentral.
ACAUCCACAGAAGAAUCCAGAGAUGGAUUUGUGCCUUCGGGAACUGUGAGACAGGUGCUGCAUGGCUGUCGUCAGCUCGUGUUGUGAAAUGUUGGGUUAAGUCCCGCAACGAGCGCAACCCUUAUCCUUUGUUGCCAGCGAUUAGGUCGGGAACUCAAAGGAGACUGCCAGUGAUAAACUGGAGGAAGGUGGGGAUGACGUCAAGUCAUCAUGGCCCUUACGACCAGGGCUACACACGUGCUACAAUGGCGCAUACAAAGAGAAGCGACCUCGCGAGAGCAAGCGGACCUCAUAAAGUGCGUCGUAGUCCGGAUUGGAGUCUGCAACUCGACUCCAUGAAGUCGGAAUCGCUAGUAAUCGUGGAUCAGAAUGCCACGGUGAAUACGUUCCCGGGCCUUGUACACACCGCCCGUCACACCAUGGGAGUGGGUUGCAAAAGAAGUAGGUAGCUUAACCUUCGGGAGGGCGCUUACCACUUUGUGAUUCAUGACUGGGGUGAAGUCGUAACAAGGUAACCGUAGGGGAACCUGCGGUUGGAUCACCUCCUUACCUUAAAGAA